Long non-coding RNA from Pelodiscus sinensis (Chinese soft-shelled turtle), 1343 nucleotides. RefSeq lists it as uncharacterized. The record is from RefSeq and is a predicted model, not a curated record. Lineage: Eukaryota; Metazoa; Chordata; Testudines; Trionychidae.
ACAUGUUAAAUUUGAGCCAAAACUAGGGUAACCCUGACUUCUGAGUGUCUGUUGGCAGCAACGUCACUAACCUGUCUAACAUCGGAGGAAAGGAAAGACAUUGUGUGGUGAAACAUGUCUCACCUCAGUAGGAGGAAAUCAAACACGAGCGCGUCAAAGCUGUUGGGGGACUCCAGAGAUGGUGGAUUCAAGCUGUAUUGAAGGAAAGCAGUGCUGCUGGGUAAAACAAUCACAUUGCUGCAGUGUUUUACAAGAUGAAGCUCAACAUCCCUGUGUGUGUCUGUGGCCAGGCUUUGUGGAGGGAAAUGAGGUUAAUCGGGUUCUCUGCUUUGCGUUUGAGUUUGAGUAGAGAAGAGGAAGUCGGCCCUUGAAAUUUGCUUCUGGUGUUCCAGCUUGAGACAGGUCCCCAAGACACUGUACAAAGAGGAUUUCCUUCUGCUGGCAGGUAGAAGAGGUGACAGACACUCCAUUGUGAAGGCUUUUUUCAAAGAAUGACUGGCAAAGGAAUUAGACAUGAGAAGUCAGUACUGUGAUAUGAAGGAAAGCCCAUGAGAUAGACUGGAGUUGAUUCCUUUAAAACAUUACUCACUACUACCAGGAAAGCAGAACAAAUGGGAUGUGGCAGCUUCACAAGGCACGAUGACCAUGUUGUCCACAUGGUAUUCUGAAGGAAAGAGAAACAUUUGUCUGUCACAGAAAGUGACUCUUGCCCGACAAACAGGGUGAAAUCUAGGCAAUGAUUAGGCAGCGUCACAGGGUAUGGUAGCUUCCUACAGUCUGGAACACUAUGUCAUCCUGCACUCUACGGGAAUGUAGCAACUUAAAAAAUGGUGUUUAUCUGGUUUCCUCUGGUGUAUUGCAAAGGGCAUUUUUGCAGAAGCAUUCCUGUUCCUGGUUUAUUCUCUGUUGUAUGCAGUUAGUUGUAGCCAUGUCAGUCUUAGGAUAUUAGAGAGACAAGGUGGGUGAGGUAUUGGUCCGAAGGUGGUCGAAUAAAAGGUAUUACCUCACUCACCUUCUUUGUCCCUGCUGUAUUCAGUCACUCUGCACAUACCAUUCUAGGACAGACAACUGAAAGCUUUUACUCUGAGGGCUUAUUCUUCUCUCUUCCUUCUUGUUUUGCUUGACGUUCCUAUUUCCACCUUCCAUUCUAUUCUAGCUUUUUUUUCUUUUGGAAGUUCUUUUAUGCAUGAUCCUGGAACUAUGCACACUACUUGUUUCUUUCUUAGUUCACUGGAAAAUGCCAUUUGCCAAAUUCAUCUGUGUGGUCUACCUUCAUUGGAGGUCUAGGAUGCUACUCCACUAAACAACCAGAAGAACUGUUUCAAAAUAGAACUCUUCUAGCU